Molecule: long non-coding RNA, 1635 nt
Organism: Oncorhynchus nerka (sockeye salmon)
Lineage: Eukaryota; Metazoa; Chordata; Actinopteri; Salmoniformes; Salmonidae
Exons: 2
Source: RefSeq, a predicted model, not a curated record
GAUGUGGAAACGACGUUGAUUCAACCAGUGUGUGCGGUGGGAUGUUCUGUAUCUUUAUAGGUCACCAGAUUGUAAAAUAAGAUUAGUAAACUUCACUGAAGAAAAUUGAGGGUCACUUAAGGAAGGAGACAAAAACAACAACAAAGUCUGCUUGUUUUGAAGCCUAAAGGUUACUGUUAGUUUGUAAUGCUAAACAUCAUCCUACAGACUGUGGUGAGCUUGUGGUAGGAGGCUGGCAUAGGGAGCGAACAGCCUCUCUCUCUUUCACAUCCUAAAGGUUACUGUUAGUUUGUAAUGCUAAACAUCAUCCUACAGACUGUGGUGAGCUUGUGGUAGGAGGCUGGCAUAGGGAGCGAACAGCCUUUCUCUCUUUCUCUCUCUCUCUCUCUCUCACAUCCUAGGGCUUGAACUUGCAAAAGCAGAGGGAGGGAGGCCUUAUGUGAUGUAACCCCUCAAGAUGCCUCCUAUCUUUUGGUUUAGCCAGUCCUGUUCUCUGCUAGUGGAGUGGUGCAGUGAGCCUGGGGCCCAAUGCUUGCUGGGGGUUGGAAUGACUUAGUGAGCGAGCGUGCUGGGGGCGGAUGUGGACUCUAUUUAGGGGUGGCAGCACUUACCGUUUUGGGGAGGGGUUCCCCAGUUUCUAUAGCGAGGGGAGUGGAUGUCUUAAACGCCAUGUGGCUUGUGCCUUCUAACACAGGAAUUUAAUCAAGGUCUUAAAAUAUCUGCCAAGCUUGGCUCUGUUGGUUUGUUAUGUUCCCAUGGAGUUGUGAGCUGCGGAAGAAGAAGGAGGAAGGGAGGAAAGGCAUGUGGGCCCUGAGUUUCAGGAAUGUUUUUCUUUGUCUUUUUUGGGGAGUAUGCUUCCACUCUUGUUUGAAGCCUGAGCAGUGACUCAUGGUUUUAAAUGACCAACGAUAUAUUAAUACAUCUUUAUACGAUUAACUAUAGUCCCAUUCCAGCCCCAAACCCAGCUAUAUGUUACUAAAUCCCUGUGCCUUGUACCCUGUGCAGUUCACUUAUGUGUUUACACACAAGAGCACAGCAUGUACCUGCUCACCACACCAACCGUUGGGUCUGAAUUAAACUCAACCACAACUUUGGCCUAAACUUGAUUUCAUAAAGCUCAGUGCAAUGCUUUCCUUUUGGCACUAGGUUUUAUGUGGAAAAGAUGUAAGCAUGUGAAACCUAUUUGCAUUGCCAUAAGUGCCAAAGUUGGGGACAAAGCUGUGGUUAAGUUGUCUGUUUCUAAGAUGUGGAAUUGUGUAGAGUUCUGUGCAGCAGUACAUAACAGCUUUCACCCUGCCUUUAUCUUUUCAGGAUAGAGCUCACACCUGACUUUACCUCUCUAUAAGCAACAUCGACAAGCACACUGUGAGUUAGGAAGGAUUAUGGUGCAGCUGAGUAGGCGAUGAAGAAACGGAAUGACUCUACACCCACACCUUUCUAUUCUUUACUUUGUUUUGUGAAAAGUGAUCACUGAAGAAGAACCUUUGAAACCUCUGCUGAGAAGAGCGAUCUCUUCUGUUGAUUGUCCGGCAACUUUGCUGUUGAUAUGGAAAAUAUAUGUUGCUUUUUGUCCUCUCCCCUUUUCUUUCCUUCUUUCUUACUUUUGAAGGAUGUGAAUUAAAGGCUAUUGCUCAA